CAGUCGCCGCGGUAAAACGGAGGGUGCAAGCGUUACUCGGAAUCACUGGGCGUAAAGGACGCGUAGGCGGAUUAUCAAGUCUCUUGUGAAAUCUAACGGCUUAACCGUUAAACUGCUUGGGAAACUGAUAAUCUAGAGUAAGGGAGAGGCAGAUGGAAUUCUUGGUGUAGGGGUAAAAUCCGUAGAGAUCAAGAAGAAUACCCAUUGCGAAAGCGAUCUGCUGGAACUUAACUGACGCUAAUGCGUGAAAGCGUGGGGAGCAAACAGGAUUAGAUACCCCCGUAGUCCCUGUCUCUUAUAC
This 301-nucleotide ribosomal RNA is filed under the name uncultured bacterium. RNAcentral describes it as "partial 16S ribosomal RNA". It matches the Rfam family "Bacterial small subunit ribosomal RNA", at positions 509 to 807 of the family's 1533-position model. The record is from RNAcentral.